RNAcentral lists this microRNA (22 nucleotides) under Glycine max (soybean). RNAcentral's name for it is "gma-miR5764b". Lineage: Eukaryota; Viridiplantae; Streptophyta; Magnoliopsida; Fabales; Fabaceae. The record is from miRBase by way of RNAcentral.
UGAUGGAUCUUUGCUUGGUACC